UUUCAAUAAUGAGUAACCAUAAGUAUAUGUAACUAGUAAAGUGAAAAAAAUCCUUAUCAGCCAAUCCUGCAGAUAAAAGUAUUUUAUCUAAACGAAAAAUCACAUAAAUAGUAAACCAUCCGAUCUAAACUAGAAUAUACGAUAUUUAGUUAAAACGAUACGCUAAAAAUAAUAAUGGCACCACCACCACCACCGCACGAUCCCCAUAAGCCACAUGACCCUCACCACGAGCCUCACCAUCCCGGUCCUAAGUCAGGACCUGGUGGUCCUGGUGGUCCACAUGGAGGUCCUCAUGAUCCACCACCACCGCAUCACUAGAAUGUUCUAAUUUUAAUGCUCUCAAAAUAAAUUUAUUCAGUAUUAAGCAACUUUUUAUAUUUAUAAAAAAAUUAACUUGCCAACAAAUAAUUAAAUAUUUCUUCUACAGAAAAUAAAUAUUUCACAAACAAAGUAAA
Molecule: long non-coding RNA, 455 nt
Organism: Anthonomus grandis grandis
Lineage: Eukaryota; Metazoa; Arthropoda; Insecta; Coleoptera; Curculionidae
Exons: 2
Source: RefSeq, a predicted model, not a curated record